This 381-nucleotide ribosomal RNA is filed under the name Unionicola arcuata. RNAcentral's name for it is "partial 12S ribosomal RNA". Lineage: Eukaryota; Metazoa; Arthropoda; Arachnida; Trombidiformes; Unionicolidae. The record is from RNAcentral.
AAACUAGGAUUAGAUACCCUUUUAUCAUUUUUUUAGGUAUUAUUAGAUAUUCUUGAAACCUAAGAAUUCUGGCGGUUUCUUUUCUUUUCAGAGGGGCUUGCUUUUUAAUCGAUAGUCCUCGUUUAUUUUUUCUUUCUCUUUUAGUUUAUAUACCUCCGUUUGAAGAUGAAUAUUAAUUUUUCUUUCUUUUAAAAUUAUUGUUUAAUUCAGGUCAAGGUUUAGCCUAUGAGUAAGAUUAAGUUAGCCAUGUGUUUUUACUUUUUUUUUAAUGAAGCUUUUAGGAUUUGUUGGUAAAAUUAUAGUAGAUUUCAAGUUUGAAUUAGUUAAAAGGUAUGUACAUAUUGCCCGUCACUCUUUUAUAAGAUAAGUCGUAACAUAGUA